GAUGAAGAACGUAGUGAAAUGCGAUAAGUAAUGUGAAUUGCAGAAUUCAGUGAAUCAUCGAAUCUUUGAACGCACAUUGCGCCCGCCAGUAUUCUGGCGGGCAUGCCUGUUCGAGCGUCAUUACAACCCUCAGGCCCCCGGGCCUGGCGUUGGGGAUCGGCGGAAGCCCCCUGCGGGCACAACGCCGUCCCCCAAAUACAGUGGCGGUCCCGCCGCAGCUUCCAUUGCGUAGUAGCUAACACCUCGCAACUGGAGAGCGGCGCGGCCACGCCGUAAAACACCCAACUUCUGAAUGUUGACCUCGAAUCAGGUAGGAAUACCCGCUGAACUUAAGCAUACAAUAAGCGGAGGA
RNAcentral lists this unclassified non-coding RNA (352 nucleotides) under soil metagenome. RNAcentral's name for it is "partial contains 5.8S ribosomal RNA, internal transcribed spacer 2, and large subunit ribosomal RNA". The stretch from base 1 to 120 matches the Rfam family "5.8S ribosomal RNA", at positions 35 to 154 of the family's 154-position model. The record is from RNAcentral.